RNAcentral lists this ribosomal RNA (686 nucleotides) under uncultured delta proteobacterium. RNAcentral describes it as "bacterial SSU rRNA". It matches the Rfam family "Bacterial small subunit ribosomal RNA", at positions 1 to 666 of the family's 1533-position model. The record is from RNAcentral. Lineage: Bacteria; Deltaproteobacteria.
UAGAGUUUGAUCCUGGCUCAGAAUGAACGCUGGCGGCGUGCUUAACACAUGCAAGUCGUACGAGAACUCUUUAGCUUGCUAAAGAUAGUAAAGUGGCGCACGGGUGAGUAACGCGUGGGUAAUCUACCCCUGAAUCCGGGAUAACAUUGCGAAAGCGAUGCUAAUACCGGAUAAUAUCUGAAUUAGUACUCUUUUUCAGAUCAAAGGUGGCCUCUAUAAAUAAGCUACUGUUUGGGGAUGAGCCCGCGUACCAUUAGCUAGUUGGUAGGGUAAUGGCCUACCAAGGCUACGAUGGUUAGCUGGUCUGAGAGGAUGAUCAGCCACACUGGAACUGACACACGGUCCAGACUCCUACGGGAGGCAGCAGUGAGGGAUUUUGCGCAAUGGGGGAAACCCUGACGCAGCAACGCCGCGUGAGUGAUGAAGGCUUUCGGGUCGUAAAGCUCUGUCGAGUGGGAAGAACAAAAAAGGUUGUAAUACGCCUUUUUCUGACGGUACCACUAAAGGAAGCACCGGCUAACUCCGUGCCAGCAGCCGCGGUAACACGGGGGGUGCAAGCGUUAUUCGGAAUUAUUGGGCGUAAAGGGCGUGCAGGCGGUUUCUUAAGUCAGAUGUGAAAGCCCGGGGCUUAACCCCGGAAGGGCAUUUGAAACUAAGAAACUUGAGUAUGGGAGAGGGAAGUGGAA